GUCGGCGUGGUGUAAUGGCUAACACAUCAGUCCGGUCUACUGAGAUGCUGGUUCGCUCCCAGCCGCCGAAU
This is a non-coding RNA of Meloidogyne enterolobii, 71 nucleotides long. Lineage: Eukaryota; Metazoa; Nematoda; Chromadorea; Rhabditida; Meloidogynidae. The record is from the annotation of a GenBank genome assembly.